This 2397-nucleotide long non-coding RNA is filed under the name Daphnia magna. RNAcentral describes it as "uncharacterized LOC116916093, transcript variant X5". The record is from RNAcentral. Lineage: Eukaryota; Metazoa; Arthropoda; Branchiopoda; Diplostraca; Daphniidae.
CAACUUGCCACUUUCCAAGUUUUAAUCUGUGUUGUAGGUUUAUUAUACUGUAGACAAGUUUUUUUUUGGGAACUGCAGGCCUAUUUCGAUCGCUACUGUACAGUCAAUGGCGGCAUGGCAGCGAGUACGCGUAUUGGAACUUGGAAGUGGAUGCAUGUGUGACGUGAUGUGGCGUUGCAUGUGGGAGGCCCCGUUGGUAAUGUAGUCCUUCAACAAUCUGUUAUGUCCAACCAGAACUUAACCAUUUUCAUGGUAUACUUAAUUGCUUGUCGGUGGAUUGUCACUUGGCAUCAUUUGAAUGGUAUGGUCCAUAUCAGCAGUGUGCUAAUGAUGCACUUCUUAAAAACACCAAUCCCUCAGAAAAUAUUCUAAUUGAAAUUAUGGAAAUGUCUGCCAUUCAUGGAGAACUGCACAAUGAUGGGUUCAUAUAAACAAGCUUGAAUUAACAAACCAACAGUAUUUUUGGACUUGGCAGUAUGAAAUAUCUUCUCUUGGAAGUUUGAGUCUAUGGAUUUGUUUGAGAUGAGCCUUGAGGCAGGAAGCUUUUCCUGCUUCUUACGAAAAGGGACAUUUGAUGCCUUAAUGUCUUAUACCAACCAAGUAUCAUUGCAAAGAUAUUUAAAAUAUAAAUCAAUAUAGAUUAUACUCUGAGUGAUGGUGACAUGGUAAAAAGAGAGAGAGCAGUAUGGACAUUUACUGCAUCAUUUACUUCUAUUAUUUAUAUCUUCAAGGCAUCUUAUUAACUUCUAUUGGUUUUAUUUGUGGAAAGAAUAUCUUGAGUAGGAGAAUUAGAUCACAAUUGACUAGAUGUUUUACUAUUUUAAAUGAGUUUGUUUAUCUAUUUCACAAAGAGUUUGUCACUUAAUUAUGGUCUGUUUCUGUAUUGUAGGUAGAACAAUCGCAAUGUCGUGGUAGUAAUUGCGAGAGAUAUGCCAAUAGGGUUUCCCUGUUUUCAAUUCGCAAUCGUAAUGGAUUCGAAGAGGAUAUUGAUGGAGUUUUGGUAUUAAAAAAGGGUAAGUACAUGUUAGUUGGAAGGGUAACCGAAGAGUUCCGGAUCUGUUUACUAUCGCACAUGUUAUGGUAUUUUUACAAAAUCAUAGAAGUGCUUAUCUGGGCCGCAUUGUUUUCUGUGUCUCGGUUUCCCCUUGACUUAUAUUAUUUUCUUUAACCCUUUGGUGCGUGUAAAACUGAAGGCUAAAAGAAGAAGAAUGAUUCAAAAAUAGUGGAAAAGAAUCAUAAAAGAAUUAUACUCGUUUAGGUCAUCCAAGGAAAUAAGAAAGAGUAUUAACUCGGCGCAGUCUUCGAUUCCAUUUUUUUAAAAGCUGUUUUUACUGUGCAUGGGAAUUUUUUGGUCUAGACGUUAUAGGUGCCUUAAAGGCACUGAAGGUUUCGUUAGAUGUCAUAAUCCCCAACAAAAAGGGAACGCUGAAAAUCCCAGGUGGCGAUGGGAAUUAGUGGCAAUGUUACGGUGUAGAUAACUUUAGAGAGUGUGACGUUAGCUGAUGUAAACCGCACCAGCUGUGCUAUUGCCGAGUCUGUCUUAUUUGCAGCCUAGCAGGAAAAGGUUGUGAGGGUAGCAGAAGAAGAGGAAAUUGCAGUAAACCCGGUUUUGAAAGAAGCCAAACAUUCUGAUGAUAUGGGAGCCCAGCCUGUGGAAACAAAAACCCCAUGUUUCAGAUAAUUUAUAUCGACAUCAGGAAAGACCAAAGGAACCCAUCGUUCCUCAGCUAUUUCUGAGGACUACUGUCACCGAAAGAAAAUCACCUCGCUUAUAGACUCGGAAGGUGAAAGCGAGACCCAAAAAUUUGCAACAACGAAGCAAAUACGCUUAAGACGAUUUUAGGUACUCCACUGUUACAGACCACAAUGUGUAAAUGCGUCAAGCGUCACAACAUGCCCAAAAAAAUUAUACGGAGUUAGUUAUUUCUCCCCUAGAUGUCUUGAAAAUAUAUGGGAAAUGUCAGCUGUCCAGUCGGCUGUUCCAUUUCGCGUGGCUUCAGACUGAGGAUGGCUGCUGAAACGAACGUGUCUCUUUUGGGGAUUUUACCACCGAUUCCGUGUGUUUUCAGUUUCAUCUUGUGAAUUCCAUCAAUGCAGAGUUGUUCAAGGAGGAACAUGGCUUGGCUUUGCUAUCACGUUUUUCAUCUCCGUAAGUCUGGUAUACCCAUUUUGUUUCAAAGGUCUUUGGGAUUUACCUGAUGUACUGUCGUGGCCACAAAAUCAUUCAAUGACUUGGUUCAAUCCAGGUCUUGGCUUUUUCAAUAGUGGUUUAUAGUUUUAAUUUGUAGAGAUCCUGGAGGCACCUGAUGUGUUUCAUUGGUGUUGGAGUCACUCGGUGACAGAAGAGAAUGCCACUAGUGUUAUGUUGUCAGUGUAAAUAAAACACAUCCAGUAUCA